This 117-nucleotide ribosomal RNA is filed under the name Armatimonadota bacterium. Lineage: Bacteria; Bacillati; Armatimonadota. The record is from RNAcentral.
CCCGGUGACUAUGGCGGAGGGGCCACACCCGUUCCCAUUCCGAACACGGAAGUAAAGCCCUCCAGCGCCGAUGGUACUGCGAUGGAGACGUCGUGGGAGAGUAGGUCGUCGCCGGGU